Molecule: long non-coding RNA, 5489 nt
Filed under: Ananas comosus (pineapple)
Lineage: Eukaryota; Viridiplantae; Streptophyta; Magnoliopsida; Poales; Bromeliaceae
Description: long non-coding RNA (ACOM_LNC031474)
Source: RNAcentral
CGAUUGAUUCUAAAGUCUAUAAAUAAGCUAUUGGGCUUCUCUAACAGAUCAAGCAUCAUAAGAAUACAUGUUUGAGAAACCCUAGAGGCUUGGAUUUCAUCUAAAACCUAUUUUCUACAUAUUAGCCUCUUUUAGGUCAAAUCGGAAUAUUGUAAUUUGAUAUCUAUAUGCCGAUUUGAUCUCCGCUUCGCUUGGAGUUUCUUUCUUGGUUUUCUACGAUACUCCUAAGCGAAGGAUCACCAUAAUCAUGAUGCUCUUCAUGACGGCGUCGUGGAUUCGGCGUAUUUGACGGCGGUUCGUGGAUUCGGAUCGUGGGCUCGUGGAUUCGAGUGGCGUCGUGGAUUCGGCGUGAUUGAAGCUUCGUGGAUUCGAAGUGGAGGCGUUCGUGGAUUCGGACGUGAGGGCGUGGACAACCCGGAGGGUAGCGCGAAGAUUCAUAGGAGGUUAAGAGAGGUUGAGUCCGUGGAGUCGGUAAUCACCUUGUAAUCUUUUCUCUUAGUGAAUUAUUUUUUCGCGUGUUGGUCCCGUGGGUUUUUCUCCAAGUUGGAGUUUUCCCACGUAAAUCUCGGUGUGCUUUUUAUUUUCCGCAUUUAUUUUUAUUGCAUCGAGAUUUGUGGUUUUUGGCCGUUAAACCUAUUCACCCCCCUCUAGGUGAUAGAUACAAUCUAGAUAGAUCCUUGGGCUCCUCAAAACUUUCAAUUGGUAUCAGAGCGGGAUCUAGAUAAAUUGUUAUCUAAUGGCCGAAGGUGGUAACAUUAAUCGACCUCCGCUCUUCGACGGCACGAAUUAUGCCUAUUGGAAAGUUCGCAUGAGAGCUUUUCUAAUUGCAAUCGAUGAGCGGGUUUGGAAAGCUAUUGAAUUUGGUUGGGAGCACCCUACCGAAGUUGUCAAUAACGCUACCGUUCCUAAACCACGGAACAAGUGGACAAAAGAUGAAAACGAGUCAUCUUCGUUUAACGGUAAAGGAAUUAAUGCUUUAUUCAACGCUUUAUCGCAAACGGAGUUUACUCGGGUUUCGGCAUGCGAAACGGCAAAGGAAAUUUGGGAUACUCUACAAAUUACACAUGAGGGUACUAGUUUAGUAAAAAUUCAAAAGCUCCAAAUGUUGACUAGUCAAUUUGAUUCUAUUCGUAUGGAGGAGCAUGAAUCUUUUACCGAUUACUACACUAGGCUUCAAGAUAUCAUUAAUACAUGUGCUAAUUUGGGAGAGAAAAUCCCGGAUUCUAAAGUUGUUCGUAAAAUUCUUCGAACUCUUCCGGAACGUUUUCGGGCUAAAGUAGCCGCGAUCGAAACGGUCAAACAUCCGGACGAGAUGAAAGUCGAGGAAUUAGUAGGUGCUUUACAAACUUACGAAAUGACCUUUCCUACUAAUCAAUCUUCUUCCAAGUCUUCUUCUAAAAGCACAGGUGUUGCAUUGAAAUCUACAAAGGAGAAGGACGAAGACUCGAGUUCCGACGAUGAUUUAUCAAUUGCGGACUUUGAACAACAAUUGGCGCUUCUUACGAAGAAGUUUCGUCGAAAUUUUCGGAACAAGAAUAGAUUGGACAAGGCUUCAUCAUCUAAGCGACAAUCUUUGUCUAAAUCAUCUUCAUCUUCAAAGUCUAAGGAUAAAAACCGUGCAAAGUCUUCAAAGGAAAAGGAUGUAUUUGAAGGCGAGAUCCAAUGCUUCAAGUGCAAAGGCUACGGCCACAUUGCGACGGAUUGUCCUUCAAAGAAGACGUAUAGACAAAAGGCUAUGCAAGCAAAGACGUGGGAUGAUUCAACAUCAAGUGAAUCAUCGUCAAGUGACGAAGAAAAGAAUGAUCAAAUUGCCUUAUUUGCUAAUACUCCUUCGUCGAAUGUUGUGUGUUUAUCCUCUUUUGCUACUAACUCCAAUAUUUCUCUUUCUUCACAUGAUUCAUCGAGCAACAAUGGCGAAAGUGAGGAGGAAUCAAACGACGACGACAUAGCGGAAGCGUACAAUCAACUUCUCAUUGAAUCAAAGAAGAUGGCUAAACUCAACAAGAAGUUGAGACGUCGUUUGUUGGAACUUGAGGAGGAAAACAACAACGUAAAGAAUUUGAAUAAGGUUCUUGAGGAGGAAAGGGAUUCAAACUUGAAGAUUAAUUCGGACCUCCAAGAGAAGCUUAAUGAUGCGGAAUCAACGAUCAAAUCUUCUAACGACAAGAUUGGAUUUUUGGAGCAACAAUUCGAGGAAUCGCACACAUCCAAUAAGUCGUUGAUCGAUCAAGUUCGUCAACUCCAAUCCGAUCUUCAACAAUUUUCUUCGGGAUCAAAGAAGUUGGACAAAAUGCUUGGAUUGGGUCAAACGAGCAAAUUGGGCCUUGGAUAUGAACGGACAUAUGUUGAGAAGGAUCAAACGGCGACAUCUAAAGUCUCAACAACUUCAAAAGGCAAAGUGUGUCAUCGAUGUGGCAUCGAAGGACACAUCAAAAGGAAUUGCCCAAACAAAAAUGGCAAGUCACAAUCGGCAAAUUCAAAACAUCCAUCGGCGUCAUCUACUAUUCGACAUCCCCCACGGAAUCAAAAGCAAAAUAAUUUAAGUCGAGUGCCUCAAAAGAAUCGGACUUCUAAGCCUAAACGCCAAGUUCUACCUAAGCCUCAAGCGAAGAAAACACCAACGAUUGAUCAAAAAUCUAAGCAAACGGCACCAAACGUCGACAAGCCGAGAAAACCAAAGAUCCGACAAGUUUGGAUCCGGAAAGGUGAUAUCUUUCCUUGCUCCUCGUCUUAGUCAUUUUUGAUCUUUAGUGUAAUGCUUUGAUUGGUGCUUGUUGUUUAAUUUUAUUCAUUGCAUUACAUGUUUGAAUGAUUUUUGGUGCAUUGAAUUUUUGUUUAUUUAAAAAUCUUUUUGAGGAAGAGGUGUUUGGAAAAUUCAAAUCUUUGAGAAAGGAGAUGAUUGAGAAUCGUUUUUGGAGAGAAAGUUUUUUUUAAAAAAAAAAUUGUUUAAACGGGUUUUAUCUUCACAAUCAUAUUAAGUUAAAUUCAUAUUAAUUAUCGUCUUUACUCCACUAUUUAUUAUUUUGACGAUAAUUUAUUAUAUGAUUUCUUAUUGCAUAAAUUCAUCAAAAUUUUGAAAUCAAAUUUGAUUUUUUGGUGAUUAAUUCAUCUUGGUUGUGAGUGUUGGAUAUGAUGAAUGGAUAUUCUCUAAUUGACUAAAAUUCGUCAAAAUUAUUUUCAAUUGUGAGAUUGUCUAAUUUAGGGGGAGUUUGAAAUUGUUUAAAAAUAAAAAAAAAGAGAAAAAGAAACUCCUAUGUUUAAAAGAUGUGGAAAGAGUUACAUCCAAAAGGAGUGUGAAAACUACCACCACAUGUAGGAAAGAGCUACCACCCCGGUCGUCCGGCAAGUGUGUGAAGCUACCACAUGGAAUUUAAUUGAAAAAGCCGAAAAAGGUUGAAAAAAAAUAAAUAUAAGUAUAUUAGAAUUUUCGGAGUUAUAAGGUGGUAAGUUGAAAAGAUGCUCAAAGAGCCACCCCCGGUGCCAUAUUAGUUAAAUCUCUAUUUUGAACGUGUUACGACAAAUUGGUGUCAAUUUUUGUUGAAUUUCUAAAAAUCAUUUUUCAUCAACUUACAUCUUGAUGGUUUUGAAUCAUUAAAUUAUUUUUGAUAAUGAAAUUUUGAUGUUUUGAUGUAUUUUGAAAUUUUAUAAUAUCUUAUUGUCAUUAUAAUGAUUCUUGGAGUAAAAGCCUUAAUUUAUUUGAAAUUAAUUUAAUUUGAUGGAUUUUUAAAGCAAAUUUUUCGAAAUCUGAGAUCGUUCGUCGAGCUUAGUCUCUCUCUUUCACUGCAUUUGCAUUUUAGGAUGAUGUUUUAGUUUCAGUUUUCUUUUAUGGCCUGUAGCUAUGACUAGACUACUCUCAUGUUUUUCUAGUAUGUUUUCUCUUUCUAUUUGCUUUCUUUUGGCAAUUUUUGACAAAAAGGGGGAGAGCGUAGAUGAAGGGGGAGAGCAUGGAUGAACAGGCAUUGAACUAAGGCAGAGGAUGAUGAGUCCAAGGACAAAGGGGGAGAUGUGAACAAAGGGGGAGAAGGUAUAAGAAUUUAGUGCUAAUCAUUUUUGAAUGAAUUGUUUUGCAGGAAAUCAAGACUUCAAGACUCCUAGUUGCGUCUAAGUCAUAGAGUCUGUUUUAGGAGUUUUGAUGUAAUUUUGAGUUUCAAAUUGUAUUUGGAUUACACGCGAGGGGUUCGAUGUUUUGGUGAUGACAUUGAACUUCGUUUUUUCUUUAAAUUGUAAUUUGUGAGUUUGUGUGUGUUUUGUCACGAAAUUGCCAAAGGGGGAGAUUGUUAGGUCCUAUGUGUUGGCAAGUUUCGUGGGUCGAGUCGGAGUCUUGAAGAAGUUCGGAGCGGAGUAUUGAAGAUCGAAGAAUCCAAGACUUCGAAGAAUCGGAAAGGACGCAAAACACGCAAAACUUGAAUCACGAUGCGUAGGUAAGUUUUAAAUCUUGUUUAUGGUGAUUCAUACUUAUUUAUAGAUCUUAGAAUCAUAUUUUCAAGUUGUAAUUGAUUAGAAAGUUUCUAAGAGUUUGUAAAACCCGAAACAAUGCAUUUUCAGCGAAAAUUGCAUUGCUGUACCGGUACAAGGGUUUUCUGUCCAGGGUACAGCCAUCAACGUUGCGCAGAAAGUUUGAUGGUUGUUCCGGUACAAGGUUUUUCUGUCCAGGGUACAGCCAUCAACGUUGCGCAGAAAGUUUGAUGGUUGUUCCGGUACAAGCUUCAUGCUGUACCGGUACAAGCCCUGUUCCGGAACAAGCUAAAGCUAUCCAGGGUACAGGAGCUUCGCAGAAAAAUCUUCCGUCAUGGUGUACCCUGGACAGCUUUCCUUGUUCCGGUACAAGGUGCUGAUUUUGGAAAGAAACUUUCUAAUCCUACUCUGUUUUGAUUCUAAAGUCUAUAAAUAAGCUAUAGGGGUUCUCUAACUGAUUAAGCAUCACAAGAAUACAUGUUUGAGAAACCCUAGAGGCUCGGAUUUCAUUCUAAACCUAUUUUCUACAAAUUAGCCUCUUUAGAUCAAAUCGAGAUAUCGUUUCGCAUUCUCUAUAUGUCGAUUUGAUCUCCGCUUCGCUUGGAGUUCUAUUCCCUGGUUUUCUACGAUACUCCAAAGCGAAGGAUCACCAUAUUCAUGAUAUUCUUCAUGGUGGCGUCGUGGAUUCGGCGUAUUUGACGGCGGUUCGUGGAUUCGGAUCGUGGGCUCGUGGAUUCGAGUGGCGUCGUGGAUUCGGCGUGAUUGAAGCUUCGUGGAUUCGAAGUGGAGGCGUUCGUGGAUUCGGACGUGAGGGCGUGGACAACCCGGAGGGUAGCGCGAAGAUUCAUAGGAGGUUAAGAGAGGUUAAGUCCGUGGAGUCGGUAAUCACCUUGUAAUCUUUUCUCUUAGUGAAUUGUUUUUUCGCGUGUUGGUCCCGUGGGUUUUUCUCCAAGUUGGAGUUUUCCCACGUAAAUCUCGGUGUGCUUUUUAUUUUCCGCAUUUAUUUUUAUUGCAUCGAGAUUUGUGGUUUUUUG